Molecule: ribosomal RNA, 472 nt
Filed under: uncultured bacterium
Lineage: Bacteria
Description: partial 16S ribosomal RNA
Rfam family: Bacterial small subunit ribosomal RNA
Source: RNAcentral
GACGAACGCUGGCGGCGUGCUUAACACAUGCAAGUCGAACGGGAGUAUUGAAGAAGCUUGCUUUAGAGAUACUUUAGUGGCGGACGGGUGAGUAACGCGUGAGGAGCUGUCCAAUGCAGGGGGACAACAGUUGGAAACGACUGCUAAUACCCCAUAAGCCGAGAGGUAAAAGGAUUUAUCCGGCAAUGGAGGUACUCGAGUCCUAUCAGCUAGUAGGUGAGGUAACGGCUCACCUAGGCGAAGACGGGUAGCCGGCCUGAGAGGGCGAACGGCCACACUGGAACUGAGAUACGGUCCAGAAUCCUACGGGAGGCAGCAGUGGGGAAUAUUGGGCAAUGCGGGGAACCCUGACCCAGCGACGCCGCGUGGGUGAAGAAAUCCUUCGGGAUGUAAAGCCCUGUUGUAUGGGAAGAGCGGAAGACGGUACCAUACGAGGAAGCCCCGGCAAACUACGUGCCAGCAGCCGCAGUAA